AAGAAGGAGAAGAAGAAGAAGAAAGAGAGACAUAGAGAGAGAGAUGCGACGCCAUAGAACAUUACUUGGACAUAAGGUGCAUUCCAUGUAACUCACUUCCAGACAAUUCUAUUUUUGUCGAAGAGUCCAUCUCCGAGUAUGAAAAAAAAAAAUACUCCUGCCACACACGAACUUGGGCUUUUGGAAUGUUGGAUGUUAUGGGAAGAACAUCCAGUGUCAUCAAUAUAAUAGGGA
RNAcentral lists this unclassified non-coding RNA (234 nucleotides) under Hevea brasiliensis (rubber tree). Lineage: Eukaryota; Viridiplantae; Streptophyta; Magnoliopsida; Malpighiales; Euphorbiaceae. The record is from RNAcentral.